RNAcentral lists this ribosomal RNA (253 nucleotides) under uncultured bacterium. Its description in RNAcentral is "partial 16S ribosomal RNA". It matches the Rfam family "Bacterial small subunit ribosomal RNA", at positions 524 to 776 of the family's 1533-position model. The record is from RNAcentral.
UACAGAGGUGGCAAGCGUUGUUCGGAAUUACUGGGCGUAAAGGGCGCGUAGGCGGCCUUCUAAGUCAGACGUGAAAUCCCCCGGCUUAACCUGGGAACUGCGUCUGAUACUGGGAGGCUCGAGUAUGGGAGAGGGAUGUAGAAUUCCAGGUGUAGCGGUGAAAUGCGUAGAUAUCUGGAGGAACACCGGUGGCGAAGGCGGCGUUCUGGACUGUAACUGACACUGAGAAACGAAAGCCAGGGUAGCAAACGGG